AAAUGCCUGGGUAAAUCGUGUAGCUUAACUCUACGAAUUCCGGAUAGACUGCCAAACUUGAGACCGGGAGAAGCUAGAGGUACUCCUGGGGUAGAGGUGAAAUUCUGUAAUCCUGGGGGGACCACCAGUGGCGAAGGCGUCUAGCUAGAACGGGUCUGACGGUGAGGAACGAAGCCCUGGGGCGCAAACCGGAUUAGAUACCCGGGUAGUCCAGGGUGUAAACGCUGCUUGCUUGAUGUUAGCUGGGCUCCGAGCCCAAUUAGUGUCGGAGAGAAGUUGUUAAGCAAGCUGCCUGGGAAGUACGAUCGCAAGAUUGAAACUUAAAGGAAUUGGCGGGGGAGCACAGCAACGGGUGGAGCGUGCGGUUUAAUUGGAUUCAACGCCGGAGAACUCACCGGAGGCGACGGCUACAUGAAGGCCAGGCUGAUGACCUUGCUUGAUUUUCCGAGAGGUGGUGCAUGGCCGCCGUCAGUUCGUACCGUAAGGCGCUCUGUUAAGUCAGAUAACGAACGAGACCCUCAUCUCUAAUUGCUACUAUUAAGUCCGCUUAAUAGGCACAUUAAAGAAACCGCUGGCGAUAAGUCAGAGGAAGGCGAGGGCAACGGUAGGUCAGUAUGCCCUGAAUCCUCCGGGCUACACGCGCGCUACAAAGGCUAGGACAAUGAGCUUCGACCCCGAGAGGUGAAGGCAAUCUCGAAACCUCGUCAUAGUUCGGAUUGAGGGUUGAAACUCACCCUCAUGAAGCUGGAAUCCGUAGUAAUCGCAGAUCAACAUCAUGCGGUGAAUAUGCCCCUGCUCCUUGCACACCCCGCCCGUCAAGCCCUGCGGAUUGGGCUUGAGUGAGGACGUAGUCUUGACGCGUCCAAACU
This 869-nucleotide ribosomal RNA is filed under the name uncultured DHVE1 group euryarchaeote. Its description in RNAcentral is "bacterial SSU rRNA". It matches the Rfam family "Archaeal small subunit ribosomal RNA", at positions 535 to 1409 of the family's 1478-position model. Lineage: Archaea; Methanobacteriati; Methanobacteriota. The record is from RNAcentral.